AGGAUUGACGAUGACGACCUGAUUUCUUAUCUAUUGGCGGGUCUGGACGUCGAACACAAUCCAUUGGUGGCAUCGAUUCUUGGGAGACCCACAACAGAUCCAAUUACUCUCAAUGAAUUCUAUGCUCAGCUCCUUAGCUAUGACA
This is a non-coding RNA of Triticum urartu, 145 nucleotides long. Lineage: Eukaryota; Viridiplantae; Streptophyta; Magnoliopsida; Poales; Poaceae. The record is from Rfam.